Long non-coding RNA from Papio anubis (olive baboon), 2584 nucleotides. The record is from Ensembl. Lineage: Eukaryota; Metazoa; Chordata; Mammalia; Primates; Cercopithecidae.
GGGGCCCUAAGUUCCAGAGACUGAGGGGCUGGGGUGGGAAGGGAAGGUCUGGCAGGUGGAUGGAGGGUGGUCGGGCAUGAAGGGUGCCUGCCAAGGGCUGCAGGGAGAGGAAGCAGGGAAAAAGAAGGAGUGGCUAGAACCUGGGGAGAGCUUCAGGUUCCAAAGAGGCUGGGGAAGCUCCACAUGACCCUCAGCAAACUCCGGCCAGCAGGGAGGGGUGGGAGGUGGAGCAUGCAGUCCACAGGGCUCAAGAAGGGGGUUCAGUCCAGAGAAGCAGCUCUGGAUCCAACAGAGAGAACAGGGGGCCUCAGAGAGAGCCGGGAGAAAGAAGCUUCCAGCCCAGGAGGCAGAAGAAGCCCCACUCAGUGUGCAGGGUUGGGAGAAGAGCUUCUAGCCCAGGAGGCACCAUUCAAAGGAAAGCCAGCCUUAGCCCCGCUCCUGGAGCAUGCACGGACCCUGAGGAAUCGAAGCCUGUCCCGACCUCCAGAGGACACUUGCCUGGAGCCUGACUCUCCAGUGAAUCCCUUGAAUCAGAAGCAAACACAAAGGCUUCAAAGACCGGCGGUGACCGGAGGUGACCAGUCUGAGCCCAGCCCGCCCGCCGCAGUAGGGCUCAGAAACACAGAAAAAUACGUCAUAUCCAAAACACAGUACACCGGAGAGGACGUAAAGCAAGUACACGGAUGGAGCUGCGCCCCUGCCCGCUGUCACAGGUGUCCAGGGCAGCGGCAGAAGCCAGGGUGCCCAGUCUCGGGGCAGGAGCCUCAUGGAUGUGGACAGGCCGAGGCAUCCACAGCUGGCUGAGGCGAGGGAGCGGCGCCGUCCCUGCGUUUGCAGGAGACACACGGCCAGGCUGAGGAGCAGGAAUAAGAGGCCCAGGUGGGCCUGACGGGGCAGGGGUGGCUCUCCAGGAGCUGGUGCACUGUGGGACUGGAGGGGGCACUGAACUUUCUCUGCUGACCUGAAGCUACGGGCAGGGACACAUGUCCGGGCAGGGUCAUGUGAGGACAUUGGGGCUGCUUGUCACAGGGGCCACUGCUUGGCCUCUGGGACCUGUUCCUGGCGCUGCCGCGUGGCCGGCCCUCCUGCCCAGCGGGGGCUUGUCACAGGGGCCACUGCUUGGCCUCUGGGACCUGUUCCUGGGUGUGUGGCCGGUCCUCCUGCCCGGCGGGGGCUUGUCACAGGGGCCACUGCUUGCCUGACCUGUUCCUGGCGCUGUGGCCGCCUCCCACACUCAUGGGCUGCGGUGGCUCCUGCUGGUGAUGGGGCUGCUUCCCCGGCUGGCUACUCUGCAUCAGGGGCCUGAUUUCUAUUUUUAAAAUUGACUAGUCCCUUGUCUGUCUGCGUAUUCGGUCUCCCAUCUAGGAGCCGGGGGUGUGCCCUGUCUCAGGUCUGGCUGCAGAGGAGUCACAGGCCCCGGAGCCCGGUCUGGGAAGAGGGUGCUGGCAGACACUUCAGUCUCUUCUUUCCUCAUCGCGUAACCCAGCUCUGCCCAGAGCCCCCGCCCUGGGCUGACAGAGGCUCAUCCCAGCCAGGAGCCAGUCAGGCCCCUCCUGCCACACCCACAUCUACGGCAGCUACGCACCGACCGAACGGCUGCCUCACCCAUUAUCUCCACACUCUUGGGAUUUGGGGCACGAAGAACCAUGCGCAGCCCAUCAGGAGCCUGCGUUAUUUUAAGGUGAACUCUUGGGAAACAGCUGGGGAACUGCCUCUUCUUACUCUUUAAAAACCUACUGGUAACUGCUGCUGACUGAAGUGUGUAUUCAGGGCACCUCAGAUCUCUGCUCCUGGGUUGCAGACUCAAGCAUGGCUCAAAUAAACCCUCUACUUAGCUUAAUUUUGCAUCAGCUUCUUCCAUUCAGGCUGACACAGGCAGCACCACCUCCAGGUCUCUUGCAACGAGCAACUGCAAACACCCCUGUUCUCUGAGAUGAGAGGCAUGGAGCUCCCUGCCUGACGCUGCCUCCACCCUCACCACAGUCUGAAGAAGGCUGGACCAAUGGCUGGUAGACAGGAAUUUUGCACCAACAAUGGAUCUUGGGGGCAACGUGAAAAGUAGAUUUCUGACAUCUGAAAGGGAAGAUUUUCCAGUUGUAAACCAAAGGUAACAUCCUAAGCUCUCAAUUGACUGAGAGAAACCUGAAAAACUGAAUUCCAGGAGGGAGGGAGGACACUCCCAUUAUACGCCCUCCCGGUGGAGGGCAGCCAUGGCUGACCAGCACUAACUCCAAAAUGAGUAAGAACAGACCCUCUGUGGGGACCAAACUCCAACCUGACUCUGGAGCAGAACCACAUGACAUAGCCGGUCCUGAAGGAAAUCAAAGUAUUUCACUCCAAAAUGUUUCCUUGACAUAUUUUGAUAUGGCCCUGCAGAGCCUUUUGUGGGGGAAAUUUGCAUCUGUAGCGAGUCUCCAUUCAUAAUACUGCCAGGCCUUUCCCAGAUCCAGGAGAGUUGAAUCGAGCCUGACACCUUUGAGGUUGGAAAGGAGACAUUUUCCAUCCUUCCCUCAGAAGGCACACCUGAAGCUUCAUCUACAUGCAAACCUCACAACCCCUAUCUUUUUUUUUUUGAGACGGAGUU